RNAcentral lists this long non-coding RNA (528 nucleotides) under Jatropha curcas. RNAcentral describes it as "long non-coding RNA (JCUR_LNC003581)". The record is from RNAcentral. Lineage: Eukaryota; Viridiplantae; Streptophyta; Magnoliopsida; Malpighiales; Euphorbiaceae.
UUUUUUUUUUUCCUUCUCUCCUUGCAUUGAAAUGCUUGUUUUGAUUUCACACUGGGACAAUGUGAGAUUAAGCGUGGGGGAAAAGGAUUUAUAGCUUAAAUGAUUUAGAACUUGAAUGUUUUAUUCUAAUUAUUUUGGGAUUUGCCUAAUUAUUGCUGGUUGUUUGGUUAAAAAUUUAUUGGGUAUUGUCUAUAUUUGCCUUGAGUUGAUGCUUGGUGAUAGAUUUUGAUGAAUUCCAUAUUUUAAUUCUUGUUUAAAAAUUGAAUCAGUUUUUAGGAAUUUUUAUCUUGACUUAGAAUGAUCUUUUAAUUAUCUUGACGGACAUUCUUGAUUAGUUUAGUGAAUUUAACUUGGUUAGCUGUUGUCUCUUGUCCACAUUGAAUAAAUUGUUGAAUUUAGUUAUUCCUUUUGACAUAAAUUUUGGAGGCUUGAAUCAAAAGAAGAUAAAUGCUUAAAUUUUCUUGAUAAAAUACAUAACCAUUGCACUUAGAAUAUUUAUGUAAUCUGUUAGGAAAAAAAAAAAAAAAA